Long non-coding RNA from Sinocyclocheilus anshuiensis, 402 nucleotides. RefSeq lists it as uncharacterized. NCBI's taxonomy places the organism in Eukaryota, Metazoa, Chordata, Actinopteri, Cypriniformes, Cyprinidae. The record is from RefSeq and is a predicted model, not a curated record. The transcript is spliced from 3 exons.
UCUCUGAUCAUCAGUGUGUCUGUGCUUCUUUUUCUGAUCUUCACUGUGAUUCUGUUGGUGAUCGUCUCUCUCUGGAGGAGGCGUCAGUCUCACGUCGCUCAUCCCUCAUCCAGAAGAUCUCACAGGACACCAGCAAACACUGACACGGCUUCUAAUUAUCAUUGUGAUUACGAGGAGACUGAAGACAAUCGCAGACAAUUACCCACAAACCCCUCUGAUUCUACUAACGCAAUCUAUGCUACUCCAGAAUUACCCAUAAACCCCUCUGAUUCUACUAACAGAGUUCACACUUUAACAUCGCAGAAGUCCACGUCUUUCAGUCAUCAUCAUCUACUGAGGGUCUGAAAGACACAGACGGUCCUGAUGAUGUUCCUUCAACAAUUAUCUGUCUUCACAUUAAUG